RNAcentral lists this ribosomal RNA (429 nucleotides) under Chloroflexota bacterium. RNAcentral's name for it is "Chloroflexi bacterium partial 16S ribosomal RNA". It matches the Rfam family "Bacterial small subunit ribosomal RNA", at positions 355 to 776 of the family's 1533-position model. The record is from RNAcentral. Lineage: Bacteria; Bacillati; Chloroflexota.
UGGGGAAUUUUGCACAAUGGGCGCAAGCCUGAUGCAGCCAUGCCGCGUGUAUGAAGAAGGCCUUCGGGUUGUAAAGUACUUUCAGCGGGGAGGAAGGGAGUAAAGUUAAUACCUUUGCUCAUUGACGUUACCCGCAGAAGAAGCACCGGCUAACUCCGUGCCAGCAGCCGCGGUAAUACGGAGGGUGCAAGCGUUAAUCGGAAUUACUGGGCGUAAAGCGCACGCAGGCGGUUUGUUAAGUCAGAUGUGAAAUCCCCGGGCUCAACCUGGGAACUGCAUCUGAUACUGGCAAGCUUGAGUCUCGUAGAGGGGGGUAGAAUUCCAGGUGUAGCGGUGAAAUGCGUAGAGAUCUGGAAGAAUACCGGUGGCGAAGGCGGCCCCCUGGACGAAAACUGACGCUCAGGUGCGAAAGCGUGGGGAGCAAACAGG